This 1372-nucleotide ribosomal RNA is filed under the name uncultured bacterium. Its description in RNAcentral is "bacterial SSU rRNA". It matches the Rfam family "Bacterial small subunit ribosomal RNA", at positions 28 to 1381 of the family's 1533-position model. The record is from RNAcentral.
GAUGAACGCUGGCGGCGUGCCUAAUACAUGCAAGUCGAGCGAACGGACGAGAAGCUUGCUUCUCUGAUGUUAGCGGCGGACGGGUGAGUAACACGUGGAUAACCUACCUAUAAGACUGGGAUAACUUCGGGAAACCGGAGCUAAUACCGGAUAAUAUUUUGAACCGCAUGGUUCAAAAGUGAAAGACGGUCUUGCUGUCACUUAUAGAUGGAUCCGCGCUGCAUUAGCUAGUUGGUAAGGUAACGGCUUACCAAGGCAACGAUGCAUAGCCGACCUGAGAGGGUGAUCGGCCACACUGGAACUGAGACACGGUCCAGACUCCUACGGGAGGCAGCAGUAGGGAAUCUUCCGCAAUGGGCGAAAGCCUGACGGAGCAACGCCGCGUGAGUGAUGAAGGUCUUCGGAUCGUAAAACUCUGUUAUUAGGGAAGAACAUAUGUGUAAGUAACUGUGCACAUCUUGACGGUACCUAAUCAGAAAGCCACGGCUAACUACGUGCCAGCAGCCGCGGUAAUACGUAGGUGGCAAGCGUUAUCCGGAAUUAUUGGGCGUAAAGCGCGCGUAGGCGGUUUUUUAAGUCUGAUGUGAAAGCCCACGGCUCAACCGUGGAGGGUCAUUGGAAACUGGAAAACUUGAGUGCAGAAGAGGAAAGUGGAAUUCCAUGUGUAGCGGUGAAAUGCGCAGAGAUAUGGAGGAACACCAGUGGCGAAGGCGACUUUCUGGUCUGUAACUGACGCUGAUGUGCGAAAGCGUGGGGAUCAAACAGGAUUAGAUACCCUGGUAGUCCACGCCGUAAACGAUGAGUGCUAAGUGUUAGGGGGUUUCCGCCCCUUAGUGCUGCAGCUAACGCAUUAAGCACUCCGCCUGGGGAGUACGACCGCAAGGUUGAAACUCAAAGGAAUUGACGGGGACCCGCACAAGCGGUGGAGCAUGUGGUUUAAUUCGAAGCAACGCGAAGAACCUUACCAAAUCUUGACAUCCUUUGACAACUCUAGAGAUAGAGCCUUCCCCUUCGGGGGACAAAGUGACAGGUGGUGCAUGGUUGUCGUCAGCUCGUGUCGUGAGAUGUUGGGUUAAGUCCCGCAACGAGCGCAACCCUUAAGCUUAGUUGCCAUCAUUAAGUUGGGCACUCUAAGUUGACUGCCGGUGACAAGCCGGAGGAAGGUGGGGAUGACGUCAAAUCAUCAUGCCCCUUAUGAUUUGGGCUACACACGUGCUACAAUGGACAAUACAAAGGGCAGCGAAACCGCGAGGUCGAGCAAAUCCCAUAAAGUUGUUCUCAGUUCGGAUUGUAGUCUGCAACUCGACUACAUGAAGCUGGAAUCGCUAGUAAUCGUAGAUCAGCAUGCUACGGUGAAUACGUUCCCGGGUCU